AUUGAACGCUGGCGGCAGGCCUAACACAUGCAAGUCGAACGGCAGCACAGAAGAGCUUGCUCUUUGGGUGGCGAGUGGCGGACGGGUGAGUAAUGUCUGGGAAACUGCCCGAUGGAGGGGGAUAACUACUGGAAACGGUAGCUAAUACCGCAUAACGUCGCAAUACCAAAGUGGGGGACCUUCGGGCCUCACACCAUCGGAUGUGCCCAGAUGGGAUUAGCUGGUAGGUGGGGUAAUGGCUCACCUAGGCGACGAUCCCUAGCUGGUCUGAGAGGAUGACCAGCCACACUGGAACUGAGACACGGUCCAGACUCCUACGGGAGGCAGCAGUGGGGAAUAUUGCACAAUGGGCGCAAGCCUGAUGCAGCCAUGCCGCGUGUAUGAAGAAGGCCUUCGGGUUGUAAAGUACUUUCAGCGGGGAGGAAGGCGGUGAGGUUAAUAACCUCGCCGAUUGACGUUACCCGCAGAAGAAGCACCGGCUAACUCCGUGCCAGCCGCCGCCGUAA
This 506-nucleotide ribosomal RNA is filed under the name uncultured bacterium. Its description in RNAcentral is "partial 16S ribosomal RNA". It matches the Rfam family "Bacterial small subunit ribosomal RNA", at positions 30 to 523 of the family's 1533-position model. The record is from RNAcentral.